AUGAGCAGGCUGUUUGUGAACAAGUUUGGAAUCUGCAAGGAUAAAUGCCCCGCUGUUUCCCCCAGCCUCACCAGACCUUGGCCUCCAGACGCCUUGGGUCAUCUCUUCCUUGCGUUGCCCAUGACCACCAGCCUAGCUGAGGCCCCGGCACCCCGGCUUCGUGCUGAAUCUCUUGAUGGCUUUCCCUGUUCUCUCAUGUCCCCAACUCCUGUGCUCCGCCACUCGGCAGUCUCGCUAAAUCACCACCUUCAUCAUGUGUCCGACCUAACAACUGUACAUCACGCCCUGACUCCUGCAUCCAAGGCCCGAGGCUUCCUAUUCCAACCCGCCUCGGGGUCUCAUCUCCUUCCUCCUCUUCCUUCCCAAGCUCUGGUCUCCCCCUGCUGUUGCCCUUGGUCAGUCCAAAGCAAGAGACUCUGGAAAUGGGAAGCAGCCACAGGCUAUGAGCACAGGGUACAAAGAAUGUAAACCUGCUCGUGAGUAAUCCUUACACUGAUUACAUGUGAAAAUGACAGUACUCUGAAUAUAGUGGAUUAAAUAAAAUUACUACUAUAAUCAAUUUCACUUCUUUCCCCCCUUCCUACCCUAUUAGAAAAAUCAGAAUUACCUCUGUGGUUCAUAUUACGCACCUAUCAGGCAGCACUGCUUUAUACCCUGGUUUGCUUAUUACCUGAUACCUCACUCCAUUUUUCCCUUUUCAUGCAGGAUACGCUAUUUCCAUAACUGAAGGCCAUGUUUGGAGGCCUUGUCCUUAGUGCAGUGACACCAUACACAGGGACACUCCCAAGGAGUGUGCUGAGGAUAAUCACAGAAUUACAAAUGGCCUAUCAUCAUGAAAAUGUUCAGAUUUAAAUAUCCAAAGGAGGUGCCGAGCUGAUGAUGAUGGUAAAGAUGAUGAAAAUGAUUCCAUCUCAUGAGAAGCAGCAAUCAACACAGUGUGAGGCAGGCACUAGCAAAGGAUUCUGCGUGUCACCUCUUCUAAUCUUCAGCAAUCUUGGGUCAUGCUUGGUCACCAUGUACCUCAGGCCUCCCCUUGGGCUACUGGGCUGCCAGGAACAAUGACUGCUGUCUUUACCACGAAGCAAGUGAGGACAGCAGAACUGGAAGUGCUCAGGGGACAGCAAAGACGAUGAUAUUCUCCCCGGUGCAGACAGGCAGGGGCAGCAUAAGAUGCCAAAAACCAAAUUCAUGAUCACUGUGCCCUGUUCUUCCAACCAGCUCAGAAACAACAACGUGUUACAUGAUGUGGGAAAUUAAUCAAGUGAAGCUGCCACCUCCCCAAGCCACUACUGCUUGCUUUUUAUCAGCAGUGAAAGGAGCGAACUGUCCUAAGGACCUAAGGGUACUGACUUAGACCUAAUUUUCAAAUUCUGCAACUAAAAAUAACCAAUAUAAAAAUCAAGGGACAAAACCUACACUUACACAAAACAGUAACUAGAUUAGUAUGACUAAUUUUUUUCCAUUUUAAGCCUUACACUACAAAGUGCCAGUAUUCAGAAUAAGCCAUCCUAGGUAGGACGUUGGCACUUUCAGCUACCAGAAAUUAUGAUCACAGCAGGUUCAUGUCAAUCAGAACACAGUCAGUAUUGUAGUGGCAAAAAUAAACUUACAAUAAAUACAGUCAGGAAGCAGUUUCAAGGCAAUAAGAUUAGCUAGGUUAGUAUCACUAAUGAGUUCUUCAUUUUAUUUUUUGAGACAGGGUCUCACUGUGUUGUUCCGGCUAGACUUCUAUGUAGCCUAGGCUGGAGUCCUGCCUCAGUGUCCUGAGUGCUGGAAUAACAGGCCUGCACACCACAUGCAGCUUUGAAUUCCUUUUCUUAUGUGCAUUUGGGUAUGAAGAGAGUAAACACAUAGAGGAAAAGUAGGGAAACGCGGAGCUUUGCAGUGAAGUAGCCUUUAAAAGCUGUACCAAUUUGUUACAAACAGUGGAAAAUAUAAAAUAACUGAUAUACCAUCACAUACAGUAUAUUCUGUCAUCCUAGUAGUUCUCUACUAGGGAAGUGGGGGAUUUGGAAACGUCUUGAGGCACUUUUGAAUGUGAUUUUUGGGUAGGAGCACCAUCGGAAGAGGUCAGGGAUGUCAUUCAACACAUACUGGGCUCAGGACCACUCCCAGCAGCAAAAAACGUCAGGUGGAGCAUCCCCCAUCUUCACACACAGCUUAUGUUUGCAGGGCAAGAGAAAAGCCAUCUGCUAUCUCACCUAGUCUCCCAUUUUCCAGCAAAGCUGGUCAGCUAGUAUUAACUAGGGGAUUUGCAGCUCAGAGCAGAAUAUUCUGCAACAUGAAGCUACUGAAAUGACACAAACAUUAAUAUGACAACUUCUGGAAAGCUAAGAUUCACAGAAAUAAUUUGUACUCUGUAGAUCAACCUAGUAAAAAAAUAACUGCUAACAAGAAAUGCUAAAGAUACCAGGUUUCGAGAUAUUUGAAGUGGACAUCUGUCUUUCCCAGUUUUUGUAUGCCAUUGGUUCAGCAUGCUAACUAAGACCAGUUAAGAAAGGACUUUCCACAUUUGUUUUCAUAAAUUUAUAGCAGGACUAGGGAUUUAGCUCAGUGGCACCACACUCGCCAUGCAAGCACAAGGUCCUGAGUUCGAUCCCCAGUGUAUGUGGGGGGAUCUAAUUCAAAUGGUUAUGCCGAUAGUUCUUAAGGCUUCUAAUCUCACACAAGAAUGCCAAUGACAUCGUAUCUAUAAAUGUUUAACCCACAACUGCUACAACUUCAACAAGACCUUCUGCUGUUAUCAGGGAAGUGUACUCAUAGGCUCAGUUUUGGAUUCUUAGGUGCAGCUAUAGAGACUACAGGGACUUGGUUCACAAACCUGGGAACUGGGAACCUUUUACACAGAGAAUUGCAGGGAGCUGCUUGAAGAGUGACCUUCAGGCUCUGUAUCACCAUCAUCUUUAGCUUGAAAUCUUCAUCAGUUGCAAAGUAACUUGCAGGAAUCUGAACACCUAGAGAGAGGGCAGGGGAGGAAUAGCUUUGAGCAAGAGACUGAAAAUCACAUGGAAACUCAAGCAGGACAGCAUUUAGAUUAAUACCUUCACACCCUGUGAUGGUUGCUCAUCCUUUAGGAGCGGGGUCUUACAUCUUAUAAAAUGAGAAGGACCCACAAAGUCUUAUCUGAUUUCCAAGACAAACCUAUCCGAUUAUGAACCUAAGCCAGGCCCAGAGGUGGGAACCUGUCAGGACUCAUUUUCAUUUCAGUAUUUAUUGUCUUUUCCUUUGCUCCAUCACCCGUGUUGCGUACUGUGAUGCAAAGAUAAACAAGGUUUGAAGUCCACCUUGCAGUGUGUAUGCAAUCUCUCCUCUCAGGAGCCUCCUGUAAUGAACACAGCACAGGGAAGGAAACAAAGCAAACCAGUCCACAGCACGGUGUUCAUGCCUCUUUAGGUUCUGCUUUCUCCUGCCAAAAGGAGUGUAGCUAUGCUGGGGGAGGGAGCGAGUGGCAAAGGACACACAGAGAAGUACAGGGCCACUGACACAUGUCACUUAACACACGUGAACUUUACCUUCAUGUUACCUUUUCAUGAGGGUAAGCUACAAAACAUCAAAAAACAAAAAACAGGGCCGGGGAUUUAGCUCAGCGGUUCAGUGGCCUGCCUUGCAAGCGCAAGGACCCGAGUUCAAUCCCCGGUACCAAAAAAAAAAAAAAAAAAAAAAAAAAAAAAAAAANNNNNNNNNNNNNNNNNNNNNNNNNNNNNNNNNNNNNNNNNNNNNNNNNNNNNNNNNNNNNNNNNNNNNNNNNNNNNNNNNNNNNNNNNNNNNNNNNNNNNNNNNNNNNNNNNNNNNNNNNNNNNNNNNNNNNNNNNAAAAAAAAAAAAAAAAAACAAAAACAAAAAACACCAUGACCCCAGUAAUGUGCAGCAAUGAAGGAAACAGGGUAAUUUUAUCUUUUCCCCUCUUCUUUUAUAUCCUUGCUAUGCACUGGCUCUUCUCUGUAUUGCUGCCUUAGCCCUGUUCUCUGAGCUACAGGGGGAGAAGGCAACACUUAAGUCCAAGGAGAGGAAAUCCUCUGUAUAUUAUAAAAUGAAGCACUGUGUAUAUGCAUCACUUUGCUAACUUAUACUCUGAACUAGAGGGACAGGGAUGUGCUGCUAACACAUUG
RNAcentral lists this long non-coding RNA (4108 nucleotides) under Fukomys damarensis (Damara mole-rat). Its description in RNAcentral is "lncRNA (ENSFDAG00000024962.1)". Lineage: Eukaryota; Metazoa; Chordata; Mammalia; Rodentia; Bathyergidae. The record is from RNAcentral.